UAGAUGGAUGUUUAAGUCAGUUGUGAAAGUUUGCGGCUCAACCGUAAAAUUGCAGUUGAUACUGGAUAUCUUGAGUGCAGUUGAGGCAGGCGGAAUUCGUGGUGUAGCGGUGAAAUGCUUAGAUAUCACGAAGAACUCCGAUUGCGAAGGCAGCCUGCUAAGCUGCAACUGACAUUGAGGCUCGAAAGUGUGGGUAUCAAACAGGAUUAGAUACCCUGGUAGUCCACACGGUAAACGAUGAAUACUCGCUGUUUGCGAUAUACUGCAAGCGGCCAAGCGAAAGCGUUAAGUAUUCCACCUGGGGAGUACGCCGGCAACGGUGAAACUCAAAGGAAUUGACGGGGGCCCGCACAAGCGGAGGAACAUGUGGUUUAAUUCGAUGAUACGCGAGGAACCUUACCCGGGCUUAAAUUGCAGAUGAAUUACGGUGAAAGCCGUAAGCCGCAAGGCAUCUGUGAAGGUGCUGCAUGGUUGUCGUCAGCUCGUGCCGUGAGGUGUCGGCUUAAGUGCCAUAACGAGCGCAACCCUUGUUGUCAGUUACUAACAGGUUUCGCUGAGGACUCUGACAAGACUGCCAUCGUAAGAUGUGAGGAAGGUGGGGAUGACGUCAAAUCAGCACGGCCCUUACGUCCGGGGCUACACACGUGUUACAAUGGGGGGUACAGAGGGCCGCUACCACGCGAGUGGAUGCCAAUCCCAAAAACCUCUCUCAGUUCGGACUGGAGUCUGCAACCCGACUCCACGAAGCUGGAUUCGCUAGUAAUCGCGCAUCAGCCACGGCGCGGUGAAUACGUUCCCGGGCCUUGUACACACCGCCCGUCAAGCCAUGGGAGCCGGGGGUACCUGAAGUGCGUAACCGCGAGGAGCGCCCUAGGGUAAAACUGGUGACUGGGGC
RNAcentral lists this ribosomal RNA (895 nucleotides) under uncultured organism. RNAcentral's name for it is "SSU rRNA". It matches the Rfam family "Bacterial small subunit ribosomal RNA", at positions 572 to 1481 of the family's 1533-position model. The record is from RNAcentral.